RNAcentral lists this ribosomal RNA (327 nucleotides) under uncultured eukaryote. Its description in RNAcentral is "partial 18S ribosomal RNA". It matches the Rfam family "Eukaryotic small subunit ribosomal RNA", at positions 1470 to 1796 of the family's 1831-position model. The record is from RNAcentral.
CCCUUAGAUGUUCUGGGCCGCACGCGCGCUACACUGACGAAUGCAACGAGCUUAUAACCUUGGCCGAAAGGUUUGGGUAAUCUCCAAAUUUCGUCGUGAUGGGGAUAGAUUAUUGCAAUUAUUAAUCUUCAACGAGGAAUGCCUAGUAAGCGCAAGUCAUCAGCUUGCGUUGGUUACGUCCCUGCCCUUUGUACACACCGCCCGUCGCUCCUACCGAUUGAAUGGUCCGGUGAAGCGUUCGGACCGUGGCCUUUGGACGGUUCGCCGUCUGUUGGCUGCGGGAAGUUCGUUAAACCUUAUCAUUUAGAGGAAGGAGAAGUCGUAACA